GUAAGGGCUUUACUAGGGAAAACGGUGCUGGUUCACUGGGGCGCGUUUCCGGGAAGGUGAAUACCGGUGAAAGUUAUGCUGAGGGUGAGUAAACUCAAAAACUGACACUUGAUUCAGCUAUUGGAAAGUUUUUUUAAUGUGGUUGGAACAACUGAGCCAUGUGAAAACACAACAAGAAGGUACCGUCCUGGAAGCAGAGAGCAAACCCUUAUCAGACACCACACCUGCUGACUCCUUUAUGUGCAGCCUCCAG
Molecule: long non-coding RNA, 253 nt
Filed under: Pan troglodytes (chimpanzee)
Lineage: Eukaryota; Metazoa; Chordata; Mammalia; Primates; Hominidae
Description: long non-coding RNA NONPTRT007580
Source: RNAcentral